AGGAGGAGAUACUCUAGAUAAUUUUUUGUCUAAGAUUAAAUAAGAAAACAGAAUGUUGGCUUCUACAAAGCGACAUAAUUAGAGACAAAAAUGGAUGGAAAAUGUUUAGAAAUUCUAAAUAUUAUAACAAGUAAUUUUCCAUUUUUACUGAUAGACAGAAAGUUUACUCAACCUUUGGUCUUUAUCUGUAUCCUGUAUAUUUAAACUGCACCCACAUUAGAAAUGUUUGAACAUUAUGCUGUUCUUUAAGCUUUAAGGCCUGUGAUGGUCGCUCUUUCUUUAUUCACACAGCAUCUAAGCAACAUGUUGAGGAUCAAAGGACUGACAGUGUGUCAUAAAUAUGAGAACAUGUUCUCUUGGGAUUUACAUUAAAGUCAUAAACACUAACUACAACAUUCUUAUUCUUAUUAAGAUGUUAAAGCUCCAUUAUAUCAGCAUCUUAUUAAACCAGACUGCAUCAUCCAGAUUGUUUCAUCAACUAAAUCGUAAGAAACUAAUAUUUUGUGAUUGUGCUGUUUUAACAUUAGUAGGAAAUGCCUCAUGUCUUCCGAAAGCCUAAACACUGUCAUGCAAAUCAAACCCCUUCAUAAAUGAUUAGAGGUGUUCUCAGGAGAAGUGAGGAUCUGGGUUCAGGUUCAGAUCAAACCAUGUUCUCUACACUUCUACUCUUGCUGUUAACAGCUACAUCUGGUAUUAAAUGUAUUGAACUGGUUCAGCCUGCAGUCAUGCUUGUUAAGCCUGGAGAAUCAUUUUCAGUCCCCUGUAAGAUCACUGGAUACUCAGCCACUAGUCAAUGUACUAACUGGAUACGACAAUCAGGACAAAAACUGGAAUUGAUCGGCUGGUACUGCAGCUCCAGUGAUACUGGCAGCAGUGAUUCACUAAAGGACAAGAACCGUUUCUCAGCUGAUGCCUCCACCAACACUGUAACUUUACACGGGCAAAACUUUCAGACUGAAGACACAGCUGUGUAUUACUGCGCUCGUAACUCACAGUGAGACAGAUCAACAAAAGACGCUGUACAAAAACAUCCAGUACAGAAGUCUGUUAGAGGCAGAAACUGUGUCUUACUUCAAUGUUUCACCUUCUGAGUUUCUCAGGAGAGUGAGAAGAUGACAUCAGCUAACUUUCUGUCAGUUGAUUGGAUGAGAUUGUAGUGUGAAAUUGUGGAACUACAAUUAGAUGUUAAAUGUAUAACUUUUAAAUCUACUAAAGAAACCCUGACAUCACAACAUCACAUUAUAUUUGAGUUAUGAGUAAGAUUGAUUAGGCCAUAUUACUUUUCUGAAGUCCACUAAAUAAUUGUUCCUUAUCAUAGGCUUUAUUUUGAUUCGUAUUAAAAUUGUUAAACAGAAUUUAUUCUUUUAAAGUGUCAUAUAAAUAAAACUAUUAACAUUUAUUUUUAUUUAGAACUUUGCCUUGCUGUGGAUCUUGAGGUUUUAUGAAGCUUGAAUGC
This is a non-coding RNA of Tachysurus fulvidraco (yellow catfish), 1456 nucleotides long. Lineage: Eukaryota; Metazoa; Chordata; Actinopteri; Siluriformes; Bagridae. The record is from the annotation of a RefSeq genome assembly.